This 2701-nucleotide long non-coding RNA is filed under the name Marmota monax (woodchuck). The record is from RNAcentral. Lineage: Eukaryota; Metazoa; Chordata; Mammalia; Rodentia; Sciuridae.
CCAGGUUCCAUCCUCAGCACCACAUACAAACAAAGAUGUGUCCGCCGAAAACUAGAAAAUAAAUAUUAAAAUUCUCUCUCUCUCUCUCUUUAAGAAAAGAAUAUUUAUUAAAAAAAAAAAAAAAGAAGACUGAGGCAAGAGGAUCCCAAAUUCAUGGCUAUCCUGAACAAUUUAGCAAGACACAAAAAGAUCCUGUCUUGGAAUAAAAAAAAAAAAAAUUGAAGGGUUGGGGAUCAAGCCCAAUGUUAGCAUUGCGGGAAAGCAGCAAGCAGCACUCGGGGAGGAGGAGAACUCCCAACUUUAUUUUAUGCCUGUGGGCCCAGAGUAAGCAAACUCCAAAUUCUGAGCCCUGAUCCACAGUUUCUCGCAACAUUUAUAGGUUAUUUGGUGUUCUCUUAGAGCCAUUUUAUCAUUGAGGCUUUUUUCCCCUUUUAAAAAAAUUCCUAAUUCUACUUGGCUGAAGGCCUUGUGCAGGGUCCCUAACAUUGAAUUUACAGUAAUAGAUAAGAAGAAACGGCUUUUUUCAUAGACUUAAUAUUCUAGCCUUGAAAGCCAGGCACAGGCUGGGGUGCGGUGGCCCAUGCCUGUGAUCCCAGAGGCUUGGGAGACUGAGACAGGAGAAUCACAAGUUCAAAGCCAGCUUCAGCAAAGGCGAGGCGCUAAGCAACUCAGUGAGACCCUGUCUCUAAAUAAAAUACAAAAUAGGAAAAUAGGACUGGGGAUGUGGCUCAGUGGUUGAGAUCCCCAGUACAGGAAGGAAGGAAGGAAGGAAGGAAGGAAGGAAGGAAGGAAGGAUUCCAUCCUCAGCACCACAUAAAAAUAAACUAUAACUAAAAUAUGAGAGAGAGAGAGAGAGAAGGGCUGGGGAUAUGGUUCAGUUGGUAGAGUGCUUCCCUUGAACACACAAGGCCCUGGGUUCAAUCCCCAGCAACACACACACACACACACACACAAAAAAAAAAAAAAAGAGAGAGAGAGAGAGAGAGAGAAAGAAAGAAAAGAAAAGAAAGCCUGGCACAGGGGUGUUUACAUUUCAAAAGGGAGUAGUCAGACUCCUAGGGCUGUUAUUUACAAUCCAAAAGGUAGAGACUGGUGGUUAUAAUUAGGCUUCCUGAAAAAAGGCAGAGAAAGUGGAGGGGAAUUGACCCUUUUUUCUAGCAUUAGGGUUUUGUUUUUGUUUUUUGUCUUCUUUCUUUCUUUCUUUUUGGUACUGGGGAUUGAACUCUGGGACUCUCAACCACUGAGACACAUUUCCAGCCCUAUUUCGUAUUUUAUUUAGUGAUAGGGUCUCAUUGAGUUGCUUAGCACCUCACUGUUGCUGAGUCUUUGAACCCAAGAGCCUCCUGAGCUGCUGGGAUUAUAGGCGUGCUCCACCGCGCCUGGCUUAGACAUUGGAUUCUUAUAAUUUCAUUUUACAACCAGGUCUGGCUUUGCCAUCACAGUAGAACAUUACCUAGUAUGUGUGAGGCUGAGUUCAAUUCCCAGCACUGCAAGAAAAUAAAAUUAAUAGUGACUAUACCCCAAAAUCUCUGAGUGCUUUCUUUUUGAGGAGGGAGGCACUGGGGUUUGAGCCCAGGGACACUCUACCACUGAGCUACAUCCUCAAUUCUUUGAGACAGGAUCUCAGUACGUUGCUCACAGCCUCUGCUAAAUUGCUGAGGUUGGCUUUGAACCUUUGAUCAUCCUGCCUCAGCCUCCCGAGCUGCUGGAAUUACAGGUGUGCACCACCACAGCCAACCCAGCCCUUCUUACUUUGAAAGAGGGUCUCCCUAAAUUGCUGAGGCUAGCCUUGAAUUUGGGAUCUUCCUGCCCCAGCCUCUCCCAUGUCUCUAGGCUUACAGGCAUGGGCCAUUAUGCUGAGCCUAUGAGGUCUUUGUUUUUUUAGUUGUAGAUGGGCAACUUUAUUUUAUUUAUUUAUUUGUAUGUGGUGCCUCACAUGUGCCAGGCAAGCCUCUACACUGAGCCACAAACCCAGCCCGAUAAGUUCUUUUAGAAGUUUUAUAUUCCCAAAUUCCUAGUCCUUUUCAUUUUUUAUUUUGAAACAGGCUAUUAUUGCUAAAUUGCUGAGGGUCUCUGUUAAAUUGCUAAGGCUGAGCUGGGUAUGGUGGCACACACCUGUAAUCCCAGUGACUGGGGAGGUUGAUGAAGGAGGAUUGCAAGUUGGAGACUAGCCUCAACAACUUAGUGGAGAUCUUGGCUCAAAAUAAAAAAUAAAAAAGGGACUGGGGAUGUAGCUCACGUGAAGCAUGCUGGGUUAAAUCCCCAGGACCAAAAAAAAAAAAAAAAAAAGAAAGAAAGAAAAGAAAAAGAAAAACCAAACAAAACAACUUUCAGUGCUGGGGAUAUAAUUCAGUAGCAGCGUACUUGCCUAGAUUGUGCUAUGCCCUGGGCUUGAUCCCAGUACCACAAAAAAUUCCCAAAACAAAAACAAACCCAUAAUCAUAGUUAUAAGUGAAUGUUACUGGUAUCUAUUAGUUCCAUAUAUCUGUAUUUUUGCUUUGUCUCCUGGUAAUUACCUAACUCACUGGGUGUAUCACCCUGCACUGUUCUAGUUACUGAGGAUGCCACUGUGAACACAUCAGAAUUCCUGAUUUCAAAGAACACAUAGCCUAGUGGCUGGGGACAGGACAAGGAAAACAAGAAUGCAAUAGCACUUACUAUAGAAGUGGCAUGGCCUAGGCAUAGCGGUCGUGUGUAUGGA